GACGAACGCUGGCGGCGUGCUUAACACAUGCAAGUCGAACGAAGAGCGAUGGAAGCUUGCUUCUAUCACUUUCAGUGGCGAACGGGUGAGUAACGCGUAAUCAACCUGCCCUUCAGAGGGGGACAACAGUUGGAAACGACUGCUAAUACCGCAUACGAUCUAACCUCGGCAUCGAGGAUAGAUGAAAGGUGGCCUCUACAUGUAAGCUAUCAAUGAAGAAGGGGAUUGCGUCUGAUUAGCUAGUUGGAGGGGUAACGGCCCACCAAGGCGAUGAUCAGUAGCCGGUCUGAGAGGAUGAACGGCCACACUGGGACUGAGACACGGCCCAGACUCCUACGGGAGGCAGCAGUAGGGAAUCUUCCGCAAUGGACGAAAGUCUGACGGAGCAACGCCGCGUGAGUGAUGACGGCCUUCGGGUUGUAAAGCUCUGUUAAUCGGGACGAAAGGCCUUCUUGCGAAUAGUUAGAAGGAUUGACGGUACCGGAAUAGAAAGCCACGGCUAACUACGUG
Molecule: ribosomal RNA, 510 nt
Filed under: uncultured bacterium
Lineage: Bacteria
Description: partial 16S ribosomal RNA
Rfam family: Bacterial small subunit ribosomal RNA
Source: RNAcentral